RNAcentral lists this transfer RNA (78 nucleotides) under Nitrososphaeria archaeon. RNAcentral describes it as "tRNA-Leu". It matches the Rfam family "tRNA". From Rfam's summary of the family: Transfer RNA (tRNA) molecules are approximately 80 nucleotides in length. Their secondary structure includes four short double-helical elements and three loops (D, anti-codon, and T loops). Further hydrogen bonds mediate the characteristic L-shaped molecular structure. tRNAs have two regions of fundamental functional importance: the anti-codon, which is responsible for specific mRNA codon recognition, and the 3' end, to which the tRNAs corresponding amino acid is attached (by aminoacyl-tRNA synthetases). tRNAs cope with the degeneracy of the genetic code in two manners: having more than one tRNA (with a specific anti-codon) for a particular amino acid; and 'wobble' base-pairing, i.e. permitting non-standard base-pairing at the 3rd anti-codon position. The record is from RNAcentral. Lineage: Archaea; Thermoproteati; Nitrososphaerota; Nitrososphaeria.
GCGGGGGUGGCCGAGCCAGGUCAAAGGCGGCGGCCUCAAGGGCGGAUGGGUUCGUGGGUUCGAAUCCCACCCCCCGCA